CAGUCGCCGCGGUAAUACGUAGGUGGCGAGCGUUGUCCGGAUUUAUUGGGCGUAAAGGGAGUGUAGGCGGUCUUUUAAGUCUGAUGUGAAAGCCCACGGCUCAACCGUGGAGGGUCAUUGGAAACUGGGAGACUUGAGUGCAGAAGAGGAGAGCGGAAUUCCAUGUGUAGCGGUGAAAUGCGUAGAUAUAUGGAGGAACACCAGUGGCGAAGGCGGCUCUCUGGUCUGUAACUGACGCUGAGGCUCGAAAGCGUGGGGAGCAAACAGGAUUAGAUACCCCCGUAGUCCCUGUCUCUUAUAC
RNAcentral lists this ribosomal RNA (301 nucleotides) under uncultured bacterium. Its description in RNAcentral is "partial 16S ribosomal RNA". It matches the Rfam family "Bacterial small subunit ribosomal RNA", at positions 509 to 807 of the family's 1533-position model. The record is from RNAcentral.